Molecule: ribosomal RNA, 496 nt
Filed under: uncultured bacterium
Lineage: Bacteria
Description: partial 16S ribosomal RNA
Rfam family: Bacterial small subunit ribosomal RNA
Source: RNAcentral
GAUGAACGCUGGCGGCGUGCCUAAUACAUGCAAGUCGAGCGAACGGACGAGAAGCUUGCUUCUCUGAUGUUAGCGGCGGACGGGUGAGUAACACGUGGAUAACCUACCUAUAAGACUGGGAUAACUUCGGGAAACCGGAGCUAAUACCGGAUGAUAUUUUGAACCGCAUGGUUCAAAAGUGAAAGACGGUCUUGCUGUCACUUAUAGAUGGAUCCGCGCUGCAUUAGCUAGUUGGUAAGGUAACGGCUUACCAAGGAAACGAUGCAUAGCCGACCUGAGAGGGUGAUCGGCCACACUGGAACUGAGACACGGUCCAGACUCCUACGGGAGGCAGCAGUAGGGAAUCUUCCGCAAUGGGCGAAAGCCUGACGGAGCAACGCCGCGUGAGUGAUGAAGGUCUUCGGAUCGUAAAACUCUGUUAUUAGGGAAGAACAUAUGUGUAAGUAACUGUGCACAUCUUGACGGUACCUAAUCAGAAAGCCACGGCUAACUACGU